CUCAGACCCAAAGCCCAACAAAUAAAAUCCGAAAAAUGAUACAUGGGGUGAAAACCAGAAAGGAGUAGUCCAAGAGUGGAGAAAACCCUAAUUUUUAGCGAAGAGGUUUAUAUCGGGAUUUGGUAAGGCACGGCGUUUCUCUUCCAUUAGUUCUCCAGCUCAAACGAAAUAGUCCCUUUUCGAUUUUGUACUAGAAUCAAGGUUUGAGAUCUAAACUUCCAUCUUAAUCAAAUACGUUCCAUUGUUAUUUUCGCUUUACUUCGUAGCGACUCAUUUGUUUCUUCGUUUAUUUUACGAUUUGUUUUAUCACGCAUCUUUUAGAUCAUAUUUAUCAUUUUUAGGUUUUAAUUACUUUUUUGAUCUCAUUUUUUAAAUUUAUCUUCAACUCUCGUGGCGGGAUCCCCCCUCCUCAAUCAUUUUUUUAGAAUCAAGUCAGAUGCAUUUUUAGGGAUUUCUUAUUUUAAAUGUAAUUGUUUUUAUUUAGGAUUUUUUUUUGCGUGCUACCGAAGGAUAAGUUAAUUCACACAGAAUAUGAAAUGCUGUUACCUCGAAAAAACUAGAUGUUAUUUGCAUUGAUUUCGAAGUUAGUCACUUAGACGUGUCUGCACAUCACUUUGGAUACAUUACAUACUAUCUGUGUGUAAUGUAGCUUUUUAUGCUAUUCAAUUUUUACCUUUUUUGGUAAUUUAUUUUUUGAAAUUUAGGAAGUUAUUCUAAAUAUAUAUAUUAUACUGUGCACAAAUAUUGAUCAAGAAUCAAGUGUUGUCAUUAAAAUGUGCAAACAAUUCAAUUCAUAAACUUUUUAUAAGUUUGCUUUGAUUCAGCUAUACUUUACAGUAUUGUUAUUUCAUAUUCUUUAAAAAAUAUAUAUUUUGUUUCCAAUCUUUAUUAAUUAGGUAUUUUCCUUGUGCACAUUGUAAAUAUAACAAUUCUAAAUUCUAAUAUCUAAAAAUAUAACAAUUCUAAAUUCUAAUAUCUAAAAAUAUAACAAUUCUAAAUUUCUAAUGUCUGGAAAUAUAACAGAGAAGAAGAAUCAUUAUCAUUUACGAAUCACACUCUGCAAUAUAAACAAUACCAUUAUUUUAUUAAACCAUCGUCAAAAAGGGAAAACACAUAGAAUACGCACAAAUUUUGAAAUAAUGAAAAACAAACGUAACGUAAAGAAAGAGAUUUGAAAAAAAGAUAAAAGAAUAAGGAAAAACUGAAGGAAUAGGAAUUUACAAGGACAAACUUACGUAAGGAGAAGGUGGCAAGAUUAGGUAUUUGAAAUAGAGAUUUUGAAAACGAUUGAUAAAAAAGGAUAAAUUUUUGAUUUGGCGAUGAACAAGGAAUAAGAGAGAACUAGCGAUAAUGCAAGAGUCAAAGAAGAUCAAAGGGUGAGUUGUUUUAAAUAGUUAUACCUAAUUUUCUGUCUGUUGAAAAAGAAGAGCUUUUCUUCCGGAUUAUUAUCCUCUCCGUUUGUUUUCAAUUUUAACCAAAACUAAGUGAUCUGAGAAUAUUAGGGUUUGAUCCUUUGAUUCUCAGAUCAUUUAGUUUUGGUUAAAGUUGAAAACAGACGGAGAGGAUAAUAAUCCGGAGGAAAAGCUCUUCUUUUUCAACAGACAGAAAAUCAUGUAUAACUAUUUAAGAUAACUCACCCUUUGAUCUUCUUUGACUCUUGCAUUAUCGCUAGUUCUUCUCUCUUAUUCCUUGUUCGUCGCCGAAUCGAAAAUUUAUCCUAUUUUUUCAAUCGUUUUCAAAAUCUCUAUUUCAAAUACCUAAUCUUGCCACCUUCUCCUUAUGUAAGUUUGUCUCUGUAAAUCCCUAUUCCUUCAGUUUUUCCUUAUUCUUUUAUCUUUUUUUCAAAACUCUUUCUUUACGUUUGUUUUUCAUUAUUUCAAAAAUUGUGCGUAUUCUAUGUGUUUUCCCUUUUUGACGAUGGUUUAAUUAAAUAACGGUAUUGCUUAUAUUGCAGAGUGUGACUCGUAAAUGAUAAUGAUUCUUUUUCUUUGUUAUAUUUCCAGACAUUAGAAAUUUAGAAUUGUUAUAUUUUUAGAUAUUAGAAUUUAGAAUUGUUAUAUUUUUAGAUAUUAGAAUUGUUAUAUUUACAGGUGUGUAAAUUGAGAUCCAACUGAGUUAGCUUGAAUUCGAGUUCAGAUUCGAGUCGAGUUUCAAAUUAAGUUAACGAGUCGAGUAUUUCUUCCCAACUUCCCUUGUUAUUGGCUAAAGCGUGAAUUCUUUUAGGUAGUUUUCAUAGGAACUCUUAUAGUAUGAAUACUCGUAAGUCCAAUACCAUUGAUGUCCCACUGCUUUGAUAGUAAUGGCUGGAC
This 2309-nucleotide long non-coding RNA is filed under the name Zostera marina. RNAcentral's name for it is "long non-coding RNA (ZMAR_LNC002516)". The record is from RNAcentral. Lineage: Eukaryota; Viridiplantae; Streptophyta; Magnoliopsida; Alismatales; Zosteraceae.